AGAGUUUGAUCAUGGCUCAGGGUGAACGCUGGCGGUAUGCCUAAGACAUGCAAGUCGCACGGACUGUUUUUGCAGUUAGUGGCGGACGGGUGAGUAACACGUAGGUGACCUACCCCAAAGUCUGGGACAACUAGGAGAAAUCUUAGCUAAUCCCGGAUGUGAACCUCGGUUUUGACCGAUGUUUAAAGCUUCGGCGCUUUGGGAUGGGCCUGCGGCGCAUCAGGUAGUUGGUGGGGUAAUGGCCUACCAAGCCGACGACGCGUAGCUGGUCUGAGAGGACGAUCAGCCACAGGGGUACUGAGACACGGACCCCACUCCUACGGGAGGCAGCAGUUAGGAAUCUUCCGCAAUGGGCGAAAGCCUGACGGAGCGAUACCGCUUGAAGGACGAAGCCCUUCGGGGUGUAAACUUCUGAACUCGGGACGAUAAUGACGGUACCUGAGGAAUCAGCAUCGGCUAACUCCGUGCCAGCAGCCGCGGUAAUACGGAGGAUGCAAGCGUUACCCGGAUUUACUGGGUGUAAAGGGCGUGUAGGCGGUCUUUCAAGUCCGAUGCUAAAGACCGAAGCUCAACUUCGGGGGUGCGUUGGAUACUGUGAGGCUAGACGGUCGGAGAGGGUAGCGGAAUUUCCGGAGUAGCGGUGAAAUGCGCAGAUACCGGAAGGAACGCCGAUAGCGAAAGCAGCUACCUGGACGAUUUGUGACGCUGAGGCGCGAAAGCGUGGGGAGCAAACCGGAUUAGAUACCCGGGUAGUCCACGCCCUAAACGAUGAGUGCUGGGUGUCCGACAUCUGUUGGGUGCCGUAGCUAACGCGUUAAGCACUCCACCUGGGAAGUACGGUCGCAAGACUGAAACUCAAAGGAAUUGACGGGGGCUCACACAAGCGGUGGAGCAUGUGGCUUAAUUCGAGGCAACGCGAAGAACCUUAUCCUGGGCUUGACAUGUCCGCAAGGGUCUAGACGUAGGUGCCGGAAACGGUUCCCCACAGGUAUCCAAUCCUGAGCUAGACACAGGUGCUGCAUGGCUGUCGUCAGCUCGUGUCGUGAGAUGUCGGGUUAAGUCCCAUAACGAGCGCAACCCCUGUCUCCAGUUGCCAGCGCGUCCGGGCACUCUAGCGAGACUGCCUGCGAAAGCAGGAGGAAGGCGGGGAUGACGUCUGAUCCGCAUGGCCCUUACGACCUGGGCGACACACGUGCUACAAUGCCCGCCACAGAGCGCUGCGACCCGGCAACGGGAAGCCAAUCGCGGAAAAGCGGGCUCAGUUCGGAUUGGGGUCUGCAACUCGACCCCAUGAAGCCGGAAUCGCUAGUAAUCGCGGAUCAGCCAUGCCGCGGUGAAUACGUUCCCGGGCCUUGUACACACCGCCCGUCAAGCCAUGGGAGUGGGUCUUGCCUGAAGUCGCCGGGAGCCACAGGCAGGCGCCUAGGGUAAGGCUCAUGACUGGGGCUAAGUCGUAACAAGGUA
Molecule: ribosomal RNA, 1464 nt
Filed under: uncultured bacterium
Lineage: Bacteria
Description: bacterial SSU rRNA
Rfam family: Bacterial small subunit ribosomal RNA
Source: RNAcentral